AGUAACCAUAUUCAUGUAGGUUCUGAGAGUUGCGAUUGCGACUCUUCGACCUAUCCGGAUAUCGGGUACCAUUGCUAGAUGGUCACUUCGAUUAGUACAGGAAUUAGUUCCUAUGCUACCGGCUUAGGUUCGAACCUGCGAGGUCACACAUAUUAGAAGUUCCUAUCUAAUCUGAUGGCUGAUGUAGAAUCCUACAUGUUUGGAACUCAGUGAUUGAGAAUCAAGAUUCUCUGAUCAUGAGUUCCACACAUUAUGGGUACCGGGGUCAAGAGUCCCACUGGUUGGAACUUUUCGAUCAGGGUUACAUAUCGAUGAAUUCUGAUGCCCGAUUGCCCAUCAGAUUUGGACUCAGUAUUUAUGAGAGAUUUAAUUAAUGAUUUGAUCACUAAUUAACUCAAUUUGAUUGAGUAAUUAUUUUUGGAUCAAGUCCAAUUGAAUUGGAUUCAGUUGGGUUUGACCCGAUUAGGUUAAGAGUUGACCUAAUCAUCAAGAUGGUUUGGUCUCUGAUUUGAUCAGGGGUUGGACUUAGUCAAUUCCUGAUUUGAUUAAGAUUUUAUUGAGCCUAAUUAAGUCUAAUUUAGUUGGAUUUAAAUUAGUCUAAUUGAACCUAAAUUAUUUGGUUCAAUUAGGUUAGUUUAAAUAAUUAAACCACCUUGACCCAAUCUCCAUGCGCCACCUCACUUCCAUUGCACCC
This 694-nucleotide long non-coding RNA is filed under the name Elaeis guineensis (African oil palm). Its description in RNAcentral is "long non-coding RNA (EGUI_LNC074944)". Lineage: Eukaryota; Viridiplantae; Streptophyta; Magnoliopsida; Arecales; Arecaceae. The record is from RNAcentral.